UACGAAGGUGGCGAAUGUUGUUCGGAAUCACUGGGCGUAAAGCGCACGUAGGCGGCUUUGUAAGUUAGAGGUGAAAGCCCGGGGCUCAACUCCGGAACUGCCUUUAAGACUGCAUCGCUUGAAUCUGGGAGAGGUGAGUGGAAUUCCGAGUGUAGAGGUGAAAUUCGUAGAUAUUCGGAAGAACACCAGUGGCGAAGGCGGCUCACUGGACCAGAAUUGACGCUGAGGUGCGAAAGCGUGGGGAGCAAACAGG
Molecule: ribosomal RNA, 253 nt
Filed under: uncultured bacterium
Lineage: Bacteria
Description: partial 16S ribosomal RNA
Rfam family: Bacterial small subunit ribosomal RNA
Source: RNAcentral